This is a non-coding RNA of Schistosoma margrebowiei, 45 nucleotides long. Lineage: Eukaryota; Metazoa; Platyhelminthes; Trematoda; Strigeidida; Schistosomatidae. The record is from Rfam.
ACUUCCCUGACGAGUCAUAAAUAAGACGAAACGCGCGUCUUGGAU